GACGUAGGCAGCGAGCGUUGUUCGGAAUUACUGGGCGUAAAGAGUGUGUAGGCGGUGCUCUAAGUUCGGUGUGAAAUCUCCUGCUUAACUGGGAGGGUGCGCCGGAAACUGGAGUGCUCGAGCGUGGGAGAGGAAAGCGGAAUUCCUGGUGUAGCGGUGAAAUGCGUAGAUAUCAGGAGGAACACCUGUGGUGUAGACGGCUUUCUGGACCAUAGCUGACGCUGAGACACGAAAGCGUGGGUAGCAAACAGG
Molecule: ribosomal RNA, 252 nt
Filed under: uncultured bacterium
Lineage: Bacteria
Description: partial 16S ribosomal RNA
Rfam family: Bacterial small subunit ribosomal RNA
Source: RNAcentral